RNAcentral lists this ribosomal RNA (465 nucleotides) under Vreelandella stevensii. Its description in RNAcentral is "partial 16S ribosomal RNA". It matches the Rfam family "Bacterial small subunit ribosomal RNA", at positions 338 to 795 of the family's 1533-position model. Lineage: Bacteria; Pseudomonadati; Pseudomonadota; Gammaproteobacteria; Oceanospirillales; Halomonadaceae. The record is from RNAcentral.
CCUACGGGAGGCAGCGGUGGGGAAUAUUGGACAAUGGGGGGAACCCUGAUCCAGCCAUGCCGCGUGUGUGAAGAAGGCCCUCGGGUUGUAAAGCACUUUCAGUGAGGAAGAACGCCUGGUGGUUAAUACCCAUCAGGAAAGACAUCACUCACAGAAGAAGCACCGGCUAACUCCGUGCCAGCAGCCGCGGUAAUACGGAGGGUGCGAGCGUUAAUCGGAAUUACUGGGCGUAAAGCGCGCGUAGGUGGCUUGAUAAGCCGGUUGUGAAAGCCCCGGGCUCAACCUGGGAACGGCAUCCGGAACUGUCAAGCUAGAGUGCAGGAGAGGAAGGUAGAAUUCCCGGUGUAGCGGUGAAAUGCGUAGAGAUCGGGAGGAAUACCAGUGGCGAAGGCGGCCUUCUGGACUGACACUGACACUGAGGUGCGAAAGCGUGGGUAGCAAACAGGAUUAGAUACCCUUGUAGUC